Molecule: small nuclear RNA, 165 nt
Organism: Lates calcarifer (barramundi perch)
Lineage: Eukaryota; Metazoa; Chordata; Actinopteri; Centropomidae
Gene: U1
Rfam family: U1 spliceosomal RNA
About the family: U1 is a small nuclear RNA (snRNA) component of the spliceosome (involved in pre-mRNA splicing).
Source: Ensembl
AUACUUACCUGGCAGGGGAGAUACCAUGAUCAAGAAGGUGGUUCACCAGGGCCGAGGCUCAGCCAUUGCACUCCGGUUGCGCUGACCCUGCGAAUUCCCCAAAUGUGGGAGUCUCGACUGCAUAAUUUCUGGUAGUGGGGGGACUGCGUUCCGCGCUCUCCCCUG